Dreissena polymorpha is the source of this 242-nucleotide long non-coding RNA. RefSeq lists it as uncharacterized. The transcript is spliced from 3 exons. Lineage: Eukaryota; Metazoa; Mollusca; Bivalvia; Myida; Dreissenidae. The record is from RefSeq and is a predicted model, not a curated record.
UAAACAAGGGGCAUAACCACUCAGCAAAUUGUACUUACGGAUUUCGGAUGUGAUUGUGGAAUGUGUUUUAGGUUCAAACAUUUGUUAUGAUUUAUGAAAAUUUGGGGUCGCAAAAACUGGUGAACAGUGCCAGAAGAAGAACCAAAAUUCCAAGGCUCGGUCUUCUUCAUAUGCGUUACAAAGCAGUGAGCGUGCCACAACAGCCAGCAGUGAAGAACAUAUGGUAAAUAAAUAGAUUAUCA